AUGUCCUACGGGGCGCAGCAGUGAGGAAUAUUGGUCAAUGGGCGGAAGCCUGAACCAGCCAAGUCGCGUGAGGGAAUAAGGCCCUACGGGUCGUAAACCUCUUUUGCCGGGGAGCAAGGGCCGGGACGCGUCCCGGCCCGGAGAGUACCCGGAGAAAAAGCAUCGGCUAACUCCGUGCCAGCAGCCGCGGUAAUACGGAGGAUGCGAGCGUUAUCCGGAUUUAUUGGGUUUAAAGGGUGCGUAGGCGGGCUUUUAAGGCAGCGGGAAAAAUUCGGGGCGCAACCCCGUCC
Molecule: ribosomal RNA, 290 nt
Filed under: uncultured bacterium
Lineage: Bacteria
Description: partial 16S ribosomal RNA
Rfam family: Bacterial small subunit ribosomal RNA
Source: RNAcentral